RNAcentral lists this unclassified non-coding RNA (377 nucleotides) under plant metagenome. Its description in RNAcentral is "partial contains 5.8S ribosomal RNA, internal transcribed spacer 2, and large subunit ribosomal RNA". The stretch from base 1 to 104 matches the Rfam family "5.8S ribosomal RNA", at positions 51 to 154 of the family's 154-position model. The record is from RNAcentral.
AAAUGCGAUAAGUAAUGUGAAUUGCAGAAUUCAGUGAAUCAUCGAAUCUUUGAACGCACCUUGCGCUCCUUGGUAUUCCUUGGAGCAUGCCUGUCUGAGUAUCAUGAAAUCUUCAAAGUAAAUCUUUUGUUAACUCAAUUGGUUUCUACUUUGGUAUUGGAGGUCUUUGCAGCUUCACACCUGCUCCUCUUUGUUCAUUAGCUGGAUCUCAGUGUUAUGCUUGGUUCCACUCGGCGUGAUAAGUUAUCUAUCGCUGAGGACACUGUAAAAGGUGGCCAAGGUAAAUGCAGAUGAACCGCUUCUAAUAGUCCAUUGACUUGGACAAUACUUUUAUGAUCUGAUCUCAAAUCAGGUAGGACUACCCGCUGAACUUAAGC